UAUAGGAGUAUGAGAUAUGCGUACGUUGUCAUGACUACAGCCAAUGGGAACGCAAGAACUGUGUGUUAAUUAGACAUGUCCGUCCUAGUCUAGACAUCAAAGGUUUGUCCGCUUUCCUCGCGUGGAGUUGUUCACAAGACGCAGUCAGCCAUGUCAACUCCCAGGCUCGCCAGCUAAGGGGUUAACGUGGUCAGUGAUGCACAAAGGCAGGAUUAUGUUGGAGUGCUUCCCGCCUCAUUCGCUUGGACUGCAAAUAACAGGAUGUGCUCCUUCGCCACAAAAGUCCAUCCGAAUCCUCAGCGCGUGGAAGUCUUGAGACUGAGAUCCUUGGACAUCGUCUCUCGCAGCCUGACAUCGCAGUCAUCGUCUGACAUCGCCUGACAUAGUCUGACAUCUCCUGACAUCUCCUGACAUCGCUGACAUCGUCUGACAUCGCCUGACAUCGCCUGACAUCGUCUGACAUCCCCAUAAUGUCGACACUGAGGACGACCACGUGUCUUCUUGCUGUUCUUAUGCUUGUUACCAUGGUUUCGACAAAAGUCAGGGUUAUUCUGUACCCUUCAUGCGAAGAGCUCGGAUCAUUGACAUCCUCCUUCGACAAAAAUGUCAAAAGAUGCAUCGCCAAGGCGUCAAGCUGCCAUUUUCUGCCUAAAGGUCGUCCAGUCACCUGCCACGGCUAUCUGACACUAGAUGACAGCUGGACGCCUGCUGCCGUCGGUAGAUGACAGUUGGAAGCCUGCUGCCGCCUGUAGAUGACAGCUGGACAGCUGCUGCCGCCAGUAGAUGACAGCUGGACGCCGGCUACCGUCUGUAGAUGACAGCUGUGCCUGCGAGACAGCGAUCUGAGAGCACCCUGGGUGCCGACACUACAAACAGGAGCCCUGUAGUCGUCGAGACUUUGGGGGUACCUGUGUCAUCCUACCUGUACACAAUGACUUACAUUUCUCAGAGAGGACUCAAGUCUUUUAUCACUUUAUAAACGAUUGUGUAAACAAUGUCGGUAUACAUGUGUUCGGCAAGGUAUUGCUUAGAACUCUCUUCCUAAUCUGUGUUUGCUUACAAAAAGAACAAGCCAGCUGAACGAUGUUUAGGCCUAAGGGCAUGAUGUUUAUGAAAGACUAUCCUAUACGGUUGCAUGUGAGUGUUUUCUUAUUUUUUGUUGUUACUUGCCUUCAAACGCGCGCAGAAUUGUGUGUAUCGACAUGGGACUCGUGCGUUAGGUUUAAAAUUUGACCUUUGAUUACAACUUUGCUUUUUCCCUGUAUGAAUGUUAUUUAUAUUGUAAAAUUAUGUUUGUAAUGUCAACACUUUACCUUCAGAAUCUAAGAAAGAAUUUUAUUAAACGGAAAAUAAAUUUCAACGAAAUGCGUUUUUUUGUAAUACUGUUAUUUAUACCUAAACUCACGUGUUUACUAGGAGGACGCAGUGGUCAUUUUCGAGGGAAAGUCGCCUAUAAAUAGCACAACCCAUGCCCAUGUCCAGGUCACACGUGAGCAGCACGUGCAGGAUCAGAAAUUCGAGGACGUGUGUAGGUGGACUGCUGUCUGUCUGCCGAGACCAUCACUAAGCCUCUUGCAAAGUUCCGCUGUUAGUCUCGGCGAGCCUAAACAAAGAAUGUGGCUAAACCGGAAGCUUUGUACACAGCAGCCUCGUUUUAGUAGUCAACUGGAAAAUAAAUCGUCUGCCAGCAGUCCAGUAAUACACGUUCGUGGCUGAAUAAGGACCGUGAUACAGCUUUCAGAGUACCAGUUGGCGGCCAUUACUGAGAGAUGGCACACCAGCAGGCAGAGCUGUCCGACACAUGUCCGAUGACAUUUUAACCGAUGCUAAAAAACCCCAAACAACUCCUAAAUAAAAUAUCCCUAUCAUCCGGUUCAUGAAGGCAGUUUCUUAACAAUACUUGUUAACUCCACAAGUGUUCUGAAGACAGCUCGUCCUGUCAAAGACAGGAACCACAUCUUCAUUUUUCUCCAUUUGAACUUUGAUUAUAAAGACACCAAAAAUAGAAAUUCCAAUCUCCAUUUUUCUUCCUUUGAACUACUAUGAAGACUGUUGAUGACAUCAAAGGUAGGAACCACAACCGUCACGUCUCUCUAUCUCUACAAUAAAACUGUUGUUGUGUAGACAGCUGUGUUAUCACAGAUGAAAUGUCCGCCGCCACUAAACUUCGUCUCUCACUUUAACUACUUUGACAGCUGCUGCCACACAGACGUCUUCGUCUCUCGCCUUUAACUACUUUGACAGCUGCUGCCACACAGACGUCUUCGUCUCUCGCCUGUUGAUGUCUUCUCUCAUCUUUUCCACCUAUUUGAGCUCACUUACUCUCUUGUUCGGCUGGCGGUCGUUAUUGUGUCAUUAAAUGUUGAUAACUGCAAUCGCCUUUCAUCAUCAUCGUCGUCGUCGUCGUCGUCGUCGUCUUCGUCAUCAUCAUCAUCGUCGUCGUCGUACCGUCAUUUAACCGCCUUCUGGCCACCUUGAUGGCAGAAUGAUUGCGCUUGACGGAAUGUUUAUCGAUGAGACACCUGUCGUAUUGGAAACCGUGAAAGUAUAUAUCACAGGCGUACACAGGUUUAUGUACCUUCAUACGGGUAUUUGCCAAUCGUGAAGACAGACACCAUUGUAGUCCCCGCCCCUCCCGUGUGGCUAUAAAAGACAGAUGGUGAAUCUUCUCGACAGAGGUCGAUUGACAUCCUUCGAGUUUGGAAGCGCCUUGAAACUAUCGUCGUCUGUGAUCGUCUGACAUCGUCUGUCAUCAUCUGACAUCGUCUGACAUCGAAGCAUCGUCGACAAUGAAGAUCGCCUGCCUCGUUGCUUUACUGAUACUCGCCACACUGUCCUCAACACAAGGCAGCAGCACCAUCUCACCAUUCUUUGACAAACUCAAAGAGUCAAACGAUCGUGAAAACGAAUUGUGCAAGACGAACCCGAACUCACCGUUCUGUUCAAAGGGGAGAGCUGUCCGUCAGGAUGUCCAUCAUGGGUCCACACACCGACCACUCCACGAGCGGGGGGCUGCCCUUGAUGACGACAACACUCGCUCUGGUGAUGAUGUGAUGUAGAUGUCAACACCUACAUCACCUCUACCUGAUCUGCUGACGACAUCAUUCAGUACUGUUCAUUCCCUUUCAAAGUUAACUCGGCAUCUGCAAUGUUGCAAUGUUCCACUGGACGACAAGAUGUCAGCAAAAACCAACUUUACUAAGUACAUUAAGUAGGAUGGUCUUGCUGAAAUAAAAAGUGAUAUUAUCAGA
Pomacea canaliculata is the source of this 3251-nucleotide long non-coding RNA. RefSeq lists it as uncharacterized. The record is from RefSeq and is a predicted model, not a curated record. NCBI's taxonomy places the organism in Eukaryota, Metazoa, Mollusca, Gastropoda, Architaenioglossa, Ampullariidae. The transcript has 3 exons.